GGGCUCGGUCUGCAAAGGGUUACAACUCUCGGUGUGCAGCACUGGGGUAACGGAUACAGGCAGGAAAAGCAUGAGGGGAAAGCGUGGAUUGAAUCUGAAGGAACUGCAUAUGGAGAAUAAUUGUCUGCAGUACCUGCCCACAGCCAUCAGCUCAUUGAUACUUGCAGAUCCAUUGUGCAAACAUAUUGAACAAGACACUUUUCUUUGUGUGAUUUUAUGUUUGGUUUGUUGUUUUUCUUUUUCCAAAAGAACAUUGCUCUGUAUCAUCAGUGGGUCACAUGGAAUUAAAAAAAAUACAGGGCAAUAAUGAAGGAAAGGUGAUUCCUCAGUCUUUGAUUCUUUUAAACCUAAAUUAUUCCUCUCUUUCUGUAAUUCUGUAAUUUCUUCGUGAGCUGCUAUUUUUCCCAAACUAUUCUUCCAAACUAAAAAUUGACAUUUAAAGAUGUGUAGACAUUGUCAUUUACUUUUCUAAUCAAAGGUAUGGGGGACUAGUGUCCGCCUAGGUAAGAAAUUCCUCUUGAAAAACAUAAAACAGAGAAUAAGAGAAAAAUCAGAUGACUGACAGUUCAUCUUAGCUGCCAAUAAUGUAGUCUAAUCCAGAAUAAAAGGGGAUUUUGAAGAACAAAAUGCUUUUUGUACCAUGAAUAUACAUCAGUGACACCAUUCCAAAAGGCUUUUUGCUUUUACCCUUUUCCUCCAGGUAACAGGACUGUUCUCUCUUUUUCAGAUCCAAAGUUUGUGGUGUGGGUUGAUGAACCAGAAAGGGAUUGGAACUUUCUUGAUGCUUAAUAAUUUAAUAAAAAAAAAUAAUAAAGAGAGAGAGAGAGAAAGAAGGAAAAGAAAGAAAGGAAAAAAGAAAAGAAAAAGAGAAGACCAUUAAAAAAGUGAAAAUUGGGCAGUAAACUGCACAGAACUCUUUUCUUUUACAAGAUGGACAAAUGCGAGCAGAGAUAAGCAAGUGGGAGACAAGUACUAUUAAAGCAUCUGAAUCACUUUUGCACUGAACGUGUACAGGACAUACAAGAUGACAACUCUUUCUGGGAAAAUACUGCUGUGUUUUCCAUCUUUUCCUUUGAUUUAUGCGAAAACGUGCUCAGCCCAAGGAACAAGCCCCUCCUGAAUUGUGGUCUA
Molecule: long non-coding RNA, 1131 nt
Organism: Lepidothrix coronata (blue-crowned manakin)
Lineage: Eukaryota; Metazoa; Chordata; Aves; Passeriformes; Pipridae
Exons: 3
Source: RefSeq, a predicted model, not a curated record